UAAAUCCCCAGCUAACUCUGUUAAGAUAUCAUUUCAUUGUCUUCUGAUUUCUGUGAUUUGUGCUAAAAGUUCUGUUGUAGCUUCAGUAAGGUGAACUGUAUCUUUGACUCACAGCAAUAAGAAUUAGGGGAGUUCCUAUCAUUCCUGGUCCACUGCCAGGCUCUGAAUCACCUGUCAAGAUGCUUGGCAGGUUCCUAAGAAGUCACCGCGUUUGACUCUGCAUCAUACUCAGCCAAGAUGAACUGGAAGAAGGUGAGCUUGACAGCUGCUGGAAAAACAUUCGUGCUUGGUUCUUCGCCCACCAGUUUGCUGAGAAGGGCCUGCCUGCCCUGAAAUUUUUUUACAGAAGCAUUGCUUCAGGCUCACUCUAAAAGUCUGGCCUUUCUCUUUGAAAAUGUUUUCUCCUGUAAUUAAGGGAUUUUCUAAUUUGAGGAAUAGGUAAAAAAUUCAUCAAAUUUAUAUUUUCAAAAAGUCAUAAACCCGAAGCUGCUAAAAUCUAGCUCCAGGGAAAUCCUGAAUUGAGGAAGGAUGCUAAUCAGGACAGAAUUGAAGACAAUAGUUUAUCAUCUUCAUUCUCAGGAAAGAGAAUAUCCCAAGGAAAUGCCAACUAAAAAAGUAAAAUCACUCACUGAUUUUGCAUUUUGAGAAACUGACCAACUUUCCUGAUCAAAGGUGAGUCUGAGUCAAGGUUGGACAGAUAAAGUAAUCCUCCAGGGCACCUCCCCCUUGGGUCUUCACAUGCUGUGAUUUUGAAAAAACAGGGGCAAACAGAGACCUCCCCGCUAAGGAAAUGAAGGAUGCUUGACUUCCAGUGCCUGGAUUCUACUACAGUGUGCUCUGGUCCAUGCCAGUGUCAGGCUGGGAGAAGAGUAAUCCCUGUCAGGCUAACUGCAAAAGUUAAAGGGAAUUGCUACUCUUCCAUUAGGGAAAGAAAGGCAUUUUAUCCUCCUCAUUAAUUUGCUGAGGCUGGAAACUCCAGGGCUGUCCAGCUUGGUGCACCGUUGGACCACUGGCAGGAUCUAGCAGACAGGUGCCCAGGCCUCUCUGAGUCUCCAGCCCCUGUGCUGUCCCUCAGGACUACAGGACU
Molecule: long non-coding RNA, 1087 nt
Organism: Fukomys damarensis (Damara mole-rat)
Lineage: Eukaryota; Metazoa; Chordata; Mammalia; Rodentia; Bathyergidae
Exons: 3
Source: RefSeq, a predicted model, not a curated record